Molecule: unclassified non-coding RNA, 1873 nt
Filed under: Hevea brasiliensis (rubber tree)
Lineage: Eukaryota; Viridiplantae; Streptophyta; Magnoliopsida; Malpighiales; Euphorbiaceae
Source: RNAcentral
AGAGAGAGAGAGAGAGAGAGAGGGUGCUCUUCAUGAGAGUAGCUCUGGACGGUGGGUUAGCAGAGGAGGAAACAAGAUUUUUUUAGUAGCUUGAUCGAACAUCAUCAUCAUCAUUAUGUGUAAUCCAGACAACACCACUACCCUGUUGACCGAGAAACCACCACAGAAGCCACGAACUCAUCUUUACAAUUACUUGGAUCUCUUAUCACUCCCCACCACCAUUAAAAGCCUGGAAAAUCUCAAAACAAAUCCACCACCACCACCGCCGCCGCCAGAAAUACACCCUUCUGUUUCAGACUUAAUCUCUGAAACUAAAUCACUUUUCAAACUCGCCUUCCCUAUAGCCCUAACCGCUAUCAUUAUUUACUCUCGCUCCAUUCUCUCUAUGCUCUUCCUGGGCCAUCUGGGUGACCUCGAGCUCGCCGCUGGCUCUCUUGCUAUUGCCUUCGCUAACAUCACCGGUUACUCUGUUCUCUCUGGCCUGGCUCUGGGCAUGGAACCUCUCUGUUCUCAGGCUUUUGGCGCUCAACGUCCAAAGCUCCUCUCUGUAACCCUUCAUCGCUCUGUGAUUUUCCUUCUAGUCUCCUCAAUACCCAUUUCUCUUCUAUGGCUUAACAUGUCCAAAAUUCUUCUCUAUCUUCAUCAAGAUCCCAACAUCACACGUCUCGCUCACACUUAUUUGCUCUUCUCGCUCCCUGACCUUUUAACCAACUCUUUCGUCCACCCAAUCCGCAUUUACCUUCGCGCUCAAGGUAUUACCCACCCUUUAACUAUAGCAUCUCUUACCGGCACGAUUCUUCAUUUACCUGUUAACCUUUUACUCGUCAAUCAUUUGAAGCUCGGGGUCUCCGGCGUCGCAGCUGCAGCCGCCGCUUCCAACUUCUUUGUGCUCUUGUCUUUAGUUUCUUACGUGUGGUUUUCUGGUUUGCACGAGCCAACGUGGACCAGGCCCAGCAGAGAAUGUUUCAGUGGCUGGAAGCCGCUAAUCCAGCUAGCAGGGCCGAGCUGUGUCUCAGUUUGUUUGGAGUGGUGGUGGUACGAGAUCAUGAUCGUUUUGUGUGGGCUCUUAGCCAACCCGAAAUCAACGGUUGCUUCUAUGGGCAUCCUAAUACAAACGACGUCGUUGCUUUAUGUUUUCCCUAGUUCGCUUGGAUUUGCUGUUUCCGCUCGGGUGGGUAAUGAACUCGGGGCAAACCGUCCUCACAAUGCCAAAUUAUCCGCUGUGGUGGCAGUGUUUAUUUCAGCGAUGAUGGGCCUAACGGCUUCCACUUUCGCAUCGGGAAUGAGAGAUAGGUGGGGCCAGAUGUUCACGAGCGAUUGGGAGACCCUACGGCUUACAUCUGCUGCACUGCCAAUCCUGGGGCUGUGCGAGCUCGGUAACUGUCCACAAACGGUAGGGUGUGGAGUCCUGAGAGGGAGUGCACGCCCGUCCAAAGCAGCCAACGUGAACCUAGGCGCAUUCUACCUCGUGGGCAUGCCAGUGGCCGUUGGACUUGGGUUUUGGCUUGGUGUUGGGUUUUGUGGGCUUUGGCUUGGGCUUCUAUCCGCCCAGGUGUGUUGUGCUGGGCUCAUGCUGUACGUUGUGGGGUCCACCGACUGGGAUUUGGAAUCUAAGAGAGCUCACAUGCUAACGUGCAUCGGCUGUGAUAAUAGGAGAUUGUUAAGUGAAGGUGAGGGCGAAGAAGAGCAGAGAUCAAUUUCCAUUACAGUGACUUCGGCCUGAUAACACCUAAAUGUCUAAAUGUAAAAUUAAUUAUUGCUCCUUUUUUUUGCCUUAUUUGGAAAUUUUUUGGCCCAUGUGGGUUUAUUUUGUGAAUUAUUGAUUUUUUUUUGGGUUGAAAGAGAACUUUGCAUAAAGAAUAUUAUAAAGAAA